RNAcentral lists this long non-coding RNA (511 nucleotides) under Elaeis guineensis (African oil palm). Its description in RNAcentral is "long non-coding RNA (EGUI_LNC030617)". Lineage: Eukaryota; Viridiplantae; Streptophyta; Magnoliopsida; Arecales; Arecaceae. The record is from RNAcentral.
AGUACGAUGCUAGGAUCAAUCUCAGUCAAUACGCACACUGUGGUAAAACCAUAGAUAUGCCAUCAUGAAUUCAAAACUACCGAGCAUGGUGACAUCUUAAGAAAUUGUAAAAGAGUUACAAAAAAGAGAUGAAGAAGAAGCCUCAGCCUAGUUCGAAAGCACUCCUCAUAGAGGCUCAUCUGGCCUGGGGAAGGUUGGCAAACUCGAUCGUUCAGCCUCAAAAUUUUCAAUCGAAAUGCCAGAAGGAUCUGAAACUACUCAUGGAGCAGUACUACAUCCCUCUUCGUUAGCUCGGACUGAAAUUCCAGUGAGGUGAAGUUGGAGUCUUCAGAACCAAUUUCCUUCACAGUAAAAGAAAGCUUUGAAGUGAAAGACAAAGGAGAGAAACCUACGGCAAAAGAAAAAGAUGGUCGAAAAUCUUAGAAGCUUAUCUCUUCUGGGGUUUAAAUAAAUCCAAACUUUGAAGAUCUCCAAACGAUACUUUCUCUUAGAGCACUAAUGAUAGGAGGCA